Molecule: ribosomal RNA, 216 nt
Filed under: uncultured bacterium
Lineage: Bacteria
Description: partial 16S ribosomal RNA
Rfam family: Bacterial small subunit ribosomal RNA
Source: RNAcentral
GUAUCGGAACGUGCCCAGUCGUGGGGGGUAACUGCUCGAAAGAGCAGCUAAUACCGCAUACGACCUGAGGGUGAAAGCGGGGGAUCGCAAGACCUCGCGCGAUUGGAGCGGCCGAUAUCAGAUUAGGUAGUUGGUGAGGUAAAGGCUCACCAAGCCGACGAUCUGUAGCUGGUCUGAGAGGACGACCAGCCACACUGGGACUGAGACACGGCCCAG